Molecule: long non-coding RNA, 1022 nt
Filed under: Coturnix japonica (Japanese quail)
Lineage: Eukaryota; Metazoa; Chordata; Aves; Galliformes; Phasianidae
Description: lncRNA (ENSCJPG00005001866.1)
Source: RNAcentral
AUGGGGUUUGUUUUGCUGGUGUGGGGUGCCCUGCCCUGCCCUGCUAUGGGGCUGUGGGGUGCCCUGUCUGCCCUGCUAUGGGGCUUGUGGGGCUCUAUGUGGCUGUGGGGUGCCCUGCUCUGCUAUGUGGCUGUGGAGUGCCCUGCCCUGCUAUGGGGCUGUGGGGUGCCCUGUCUGCCUUGUUAUGGGGCUUGUGGGGCUCUAUGGGGCUGUGUGGUGCCCUGCUCUGGGGCUCUAUGGGGCUGUGUGGUGCCCUGCUAUGGGGCUCUCUGGGGCUCUCUGGGGCUCUAUGGGGCUCUAUGGGGUGACCAUCCCUUGUGCUGCCCCCUGCAGGUUCCAGAAGCACGUUCACACCUAUCGCAUCCUGCCCGACGAGGACGACUGCCUGGCUGUGCAGACGUCUCAGGGCGUCCAGGUUCGGCGCUUCAAGACGCUGUCGGAGCUGAUCUCGCUGUACCUGCAGCCCAACCAGGGCCUGGUGUGCACGCUGCUCUUCCCCGUCGAGAGGGACAAGGACAAGGAGGGCGCGGAGGACAGGGAUUACUCGGAUGGUGACGAUGAGAAGCCCCCGCUGCCCCCGCGCUCCAGCACCAGCAGCUUCUCGGGCUCCUCAGUGGGGCUCAGCCCCAGCAGCCCCGGAACAGGGGGGUCCGAUGGGGCGGCGGAGAGGUGAGGAGCAGCGCGGGGGAACCAUUGGACCCCAUAACCACAUUGUACCCCAUAACCCCAUUACAUCCCCACUGCAUCCCCAUAACCCCAUUACAUCCCCAUUGUAUCCCCAUAACCCCAUUACAUCCCCAUUGCAUCCCCAUAACUCCAUUGCAUCUCCGUUGCAUCUCCAUUACAUCCCCAUUGCAGCCCCAUAACCCCAUUACAUCCCCACUGCAUCCCCACAACCCAACUCCAUCCCCAUUGUAUCCCCAUAACCCCACUCCAUCCCCAUUGCAUCCCCAUAACCCCAUUACAUCCCCAUUGUAUCCCCACAACCCCAUUGAAUCCCCAUUGCAUCCCCAUAACCCCAC